ACCCAGCACGAGUGAUGUCGUGCUACCCGCAUCUGAAUAUAUAGGGUGCGGGAGGGAACGCGGGGAAGUGAAACAUCUCAGUACCCGUAGGAGGAGAAAACAAUUGUGAUUCCGCAAGUAGUGGCGAGCGAACGCGGAACAGGCUAAACCGCACGCAUGGGUAACCGGGUAGGGGUUGUGUGUGCGGGGUUGUGGGAGGAUAUGUCUCAGCGCUACCCGGCUGAGAGGCAGUCAGAAAGUGUCGUGGUUAGCGGAAGUGGCCUGGGAUGGUCUGCCGUAGACGGUGAGAGCCCGGUACGCGAAAACCCGGCACCUGCCUAGUAUCAAUUCCCGAGUAGCAGCGGGCCCGUGGAAUCCGCUGUGAAUCCGCCGGGACCACCCGGUAAGCCUA
RNAcentral lists this ribosomal RNA (391 nucleotides) under Pandoraea nosoerga. RNAcentral's name for it is "partial 23S ribosomal RNA". It matches the Rfam family "Bacterial large subunit ribosomal RNA", at positions 126 to 468 of the family's 2925-position model. Lineage: Bacteria; Pseudomonadati; Pseudomonadota; Betaproteobacteria; Burkholderiales; Burkholderiaceae. The record is from RNAcentral.